GCCAUUGUCUCAAACAAUCACCAAUCACCAAACCAAAUUCUCUUUCGCGCGAGAAAUGAAAACGAAAUGAUAAUGUUAAUGUAAAUGGAAAUGCUCGUACGCGCCUGUGUAUUUAAUGGAAGUAGCAGUAUUGCACGCUAACGUGCGCCGAGGGUGCCGAAACGAAGCGGAAUGAAGGAGAUUUUUUGAUUGGGAAAGGAAGAGGAAGCACUAUGCACGGACAGAGAAAGUAUGCGAUAUGCGAGUGACCCGAUAGCCCCACAUUCAUUUGGGGAGCG
Molecule: unclassified non-coding RNA, 278 nt
Filed under: Hevea brasiliensis (rubber tree)
Lineage: Eukaryota; Viridiplantae; Streptophyta; Magnoliopsida; Malpighiales; Euphorbiaceae
Source: RNAcentral